GGUACUUGUACCGACUGGAUGAGCAGCGAACGGGUGAGUAACGCGUGGGGAAUCUGCCUUUGAGCGGGGGACAACAUUUGGAAACGAAUGCUAAUACCGCAUAAAAACUUUAAACACAAGUUUUAAGUUUGAAAGAUGCAAUUGCAUCACUCAAAGAUGAUCCCGCGUUGUAUUAGCUAGUUGGUGAGGUAAAGGCUCACCAAGGCGAUGAUACAUAGCCGACCUGAGAGGGUGAUCGGCCACAUUGGGACUGAGACACGGCCCAAACUCCUACGGGAGGCAGCAGUAGGGAAUCUUCGGCAAUGGACGAAAGUCUGACCGAGCAACGCCGCGUGAGUGAAGAAGGUUUUCGGAUCGUAAAACUCUGUUGGUAGAGAAGAACGUUGGUGAGAGUGGAAAGCUCAUCAAGUGACGGUAACUACCCAGAAAGGGACGGCUAACUACGUGCCAGCAGCCGCGGUAAUACGUAGGUCCCGAGCGUUGUCCGGAUUUAUUGGGCGUAAAGCGAGCGCAGGUGGUUUAUUAAGUCUGGUGUAAAAGGCAGUGGCUCAACCAUUGUAUGCAUUGGAAACUGGUAGACUUGAGUGCAGGAGAGGAGAGUGGAAUUCCAUGUGUAGCGGUGAAAUGCGUAGAUAUAUGGAGGAACACCGGUGGCGAAAGCGGCUCUCUGGCCUGUAACUGACACUGAGGCUCGAAAGCGUGGGGGAGCAAACAGGAUUAGAUACCCUGGUAGUCCACGCCGUAAACGAUGAGUGCUAGAUGUAGGGAGCUAUAAGUUCUCUGUAUCGCAGCUAACGCAAUAAGCACUCCGCCUGGGGAGUACGACCGCAAGGUUGAAACUCAAAGGAAUUGACGGGGGCCCGCACAAGCGGUGGAGCAUGUGGUUUAAUUCGAAGCAACGCGAAGAACCUUACCAGGUCUUGACAUACUCGUGCUAUUCCUAGAGAUAGGAAGUUCCUUCGGGACACGGGAUACAGGUGGUGCAUGGUUGUCGUCAGCUCGUGUCGUGAGAUGUUGGGUUAAGUCCCGCAACGAGCGCAACCCCUAUUGUUAGUUGCCAUCAUUAAGUUGGGCACUCUAACGAGACUGCCGGUGAUAAACCGGAGGAAGGUGGGGAUGACGUCAAAUCAUCAUGCCCCUUAUGACCUGGGCUACACACGUGCUACAAUGGAUGGUACAACGAGUCGCGAGACAGUGAUGUUUAGCUAAUCUCUUAAAACCAUUCUCAGUUCGGAUUGUAGGCUGCAACUCGCCUACAUGAAGUCGGAAUCGCUAGUAAUCGCGGAUCAGCACGCCGCGGUGAAUACGUUCCCGGGCCUUGUACACACCGCCCGUCACACCACGGGAGUUGGGAGUACCCGAAGUAGGUUGCCUAACC
RNAcentral lists this ribosomal RNA (1378 nucleotides) under Lactococcus sp. 56. Its description in RNAcentral is "16S ribosomal RNA". It matches the Rfam family "Bacterial small subunit ribosomal RNA", at positions 75 to 1440 of the family's 1533-position model. Lineage: Bacteria; Bacillati; Bacillota; Bacilli; Lactobacillales; Streptococcaceae. The record is from RNAcentral.